AUUAAGUAAUUUCAUACCAGUAGGAGAAAGGGCAGCUUCAGAAACAGAAAUACCACGGCAUGAUUUCACUGGAUAUAUGAAUAUUGAUUUAACUUGUGCACUUCCUACUUCUGCCAUAUCAACAAAGAGAACAACUACUCUCUCUUUCUUCACUCUUCACUUAAUAAUAAAUAAAUUUUCUCCCUUAGCAACGUGUUCUGGUCGACUUAUCUUAUCACUAUUGUCGUCCUAUCACUAUUGCGCGCCAAACCAUUUUCAGCUGAUUUGGUUCCUGUCAGCUCCUUUGGCUUCAUUCCUCUUAUCUCACCUCAGAUUUUUAAAUCUUUUUGUCGGUGUUCUAAAUCAAGUGAAAUGGACAUCUGUUAUUACUAUACUACGGUGAAAACACUUCCGAAUUUAUACAUAUAGAUAUAGUUAAGCAAG
RNAcentral lists this long non-coding RNA (423 nucleotides) under Nicotiana benthamiana. Its description in RNAcentral is "long non-coding RNA (NBEN_LNC002420)". The record is from RNAcentral. Lineage: Eukaryota; Viridiplantae; Streptophyta; Magnoliopsida; Solanales; Solanaceae.